AGCGAACGCUGGCGGCGUGCCUAACACAUGCAAGUCGAACGUGAAAGGGAGCAAUCCCAAGUAAAGUGGCGUACGGGUGAGUAACGCGUAGGUAAUCUACCCCAGAAUCUGGAAUAACCUGCCGAAAGGCGGGCUAAUACUGGAUAGAGCGAUGGAAUCCGUAAUUGGGUUUUUCGGGAAAGGGGGGCCGUAAGGUCUCUCGUUUUGGGAUGAGCCUGCGUCUCAUUAGCUAGUUGGUAGGGUAACGGCCUACCAAGGCAUUGAUGGGUAGCUGGUC
This 277-nucleotide ribosomal RNA is filed under the name uncultured bacterium. RNAcentral's name for it is "partial 16S ribosomal RNA". It matches the Rfam family "Bacterial small subunit ribosomal RNA", at positions 29 to 292 of the family's 1533-position model. The record is from RNAcentral.